ACCUUCAACCAACUUGUUGAUAACACCAGUUCCCAAUGGAACACUGAAAUUAAGCAACGUUUUGCGUGGUUAGUACGAGUAUCCGAAUGGGUGACCAUCUGGGCCAUUCUGCGCAAUCGCGUGCUGCAGGCU
This 132-nucleotide ribosomal RNA is filed under the name Diaphorina citri (Asian citrus psyllid). Lineage: Eukaryota; Metazoa; Arthropoda; Insecta; Hemiptera; Psyllidae. The record is from RNAcentral.